Small nuclear RNA from Vulpes vulpes (red fox), 136 nucleotides. Its record names the gene U4. It matches the Rfam family "U4 spliceosomal RNA". From Rfam's summary of the family: U4 small nuclear RNA (U4 snRNA) is a component of the major U2-dependent spliceosome. The structure of U4 snRNA from yeast and human has been reported. NCBI's taxonomy places the organism in Eukaryota, Metazoa, Chordata, Mammalia, Carnivora, Canidae. The record is from Ensembl.
AGCUUUGCGCAGUGGCAGUAUCGUAGCCAAUGAGGUUUAUCUGAGGUGUGAUUAUUGCUAAUAAAACAAAUGUCAUCAAAGGGGCACCUGGCUGACUCAGACUCUUGAUUUCGGCUCAGGUCAUGAUCUCAAGGUC